UGGGAGUGUGGUGGAAUGGUAGACACAACAGACUUAAAAUCUGUUGAUCUUUAGGUCGUGAGGGUUCAAGUCCCUCCACUCCCAA
This is a transfer RNA of 85 nucleotides. It matches the Rfam family "tRNA". Rfam says of the family: Transfer RNA (tRNA) molecules are approximately 80 nucleotides in length.